CUGGUCUUGACAUCCACAGAACUUUCCAGAGAUGGAUUGGUGCCUUCGGGAACUGUGAGACAGGUGCUGCAUGGCUGUCGUCAGCUCGUGUUGUGAAAUGUUGGGUUAAGUCCCGCAACGAGCGCAGCCCUUAUCCUUUGUUGCCAGCGGUCCGGCCGGGAACUCAAAGGAGACUGCCAGUGAUAAACUGGAGGAAGGUGGGGAUGACGUCAAGUCAUCAUGGCCCUUACGACCAGGGCUACACACGUGCUACAAUGGCAUAUACAAAGAGAAGCGGCCUCGCGAGAGCAAGCGGACCUCAUAAAGUAUGUCGUAGUCCGGAUUGGAGUCUGCAACUCGACUCCAUGAAGUCGGAAUCGCUAGUAAUCGUAGAUCAGAAUGCUACGGUGAAUACGUUCCC
RNAcentral lists this ribosomal RNA (400 nucleotides) under uncultured bacterium. RNAcentral's name for it is "bacterial SSU rRNA". It matches the Rfam family "Bacterial small subunit ribosomal RNA", at positions 975 to 1375 of the family's 1533-position model. The record is from RNAcentral.